This 478-nucleotide ribosomal RNA is filed under the name uncultured bacterium. Its description in RNAcentral is "partial 16S ribosomal RNA". It matches the Rfam family "Bacterial small subunit ribosomal RNA", at positions 28 to 523 of the family's 1533-position model. The record is from RNAcentral.
GACGAACGCUGGCGGCGUGCUUAACACAUGCAAGUCGAACGGUAAGGCCCUUCGGGGUACACGAGUGGCGAACGGGUGAGUAACACGUGGGUGAUCUGCCCUGCACUUCGGGAUAAGCCUGGGAAACUGGGUCUAAUACCGGAUAGGACUCCUGGCUUCAUGGUUGGGGGUGGAAAGCUUUUGCGGUGUGGGAUGGGCCCGCGGCCUAUCAGCUUGUUGGUGGGGUGAUGGCCUACCAAGGCGACGACGGGUAGCCGGCCUGAGAGGGUGACCGGCCACACUGGGACUGAGAUACGGCCCAGACUCCUACGGGAGGCAGCAGUGGGGAAUAUUGCACAAUGGGCGCAAGCCUGAUGCAGCGACGCCGCGUGAGGGAUGACGGCCUUCGGGUUGUUAACCUCUUUCAGCACCGACGAAGCGCAAGUGACGGUAGGUGCAGAAGAAGGACCGGCCAACUACGUGCCAGCCGCCGCCGUAA